Molecule: ribosomal RNA, 457 nt
Filed under: uncultured bacterium
Lineage: Bacteria
Description: bacterial SSU rRNA
Rfam family: Bacterial small subunit ribosomal RNA
Source: RNAcentral
UACGGAAGGCAGCAGUGGGGAAUAUUGCACAAUGGGCGCAAGCCUGAUGCAGCCAUGCCGCGUGUAUGAAGAAGGCCUUCGGGUUGUAAAGUACUUUCAGUCGUGAGGAAGGUGUUAAGGUUAAUAACCUUAGCAAUUGACGUUAGCGACAGAAGAAGCACCGGCUAACUCCGUGCCAGCAGCCGCGGUAAUACGGAGGGUGCGAGCGUUAAUCGGAAUUACUGGGCGUAAAGGGCACGCAGGCGGUUAAUUAAGUUGGAUGUGAAAUCCCCGGGCUUAACCUGGGAAUGGCAUUCAAGACUGGUUAGCUAGAGUCUUGUAGAGGGGGUAGAAUUCCAUGUGUAGCGGUGAAAUGCGUAGAGAUGUGGAGGAAUACCGGUGGCGAAGGCGGCCCCUGGACAAAGGCUGACGCUCAUGUGCGAAAGCGUGGGGAGCGAAACAGGGAUUAGAUACCCGG